Molecule: long non-coding RNA, 393 nt
Organism: Oncorhynchus tshawytscha (Chinook salmon)
Lineage: Eukaryota; Metazoa; Chordata; Actinopteri; Salmoniformes; Salmonidae
Source: Ensembl
ACGGGACAAUGUUAGUUUUCACCGGGCUGUUCUGGUCCAAAACUGGUUUGCCACCCAUCCACAAUUUGUAGUUUUGUACCUACCCCCAUAUUCACCUUUUCUAAAUCCCAUAGAGGAAUUCUUCUCAGCCUGGCGCUAGAAAGUGUAUGAUCGCCAACCCUAUGCCCGCAUGCCGCUUCUCCAGGCAAUGGAGGACGCAUGUGGGGACAUAGAGGUUGCCUCUGUCCAAGGUUGGAUACGCCAUGCUAGGAGAUACUUCCCUCUAUGUGGGGACAUAGAGGUUGCCUCUGUCCAAGGUUGGAUACGCCAUGCUAGGAGAUACUUCCCUCUAUGUGGGGACAUAGAGGUUGCCUCUGUCCAAGGUUGGAUACGCCAUGCUAGGAGAUACUUCCC